RNAcentral lists this ribosomal RNA (118 nucleotides) under Microcebus murinus (gray mouse lemur). Lineage: Eukaryota; Metazoa; Chordata; Mammalia; Primates; Cheirogaleidae. The record is from RNAcentral.
GUCUAUGGCAUACUACCCUGAAUGUGCCCGAUUUUGUCUGAUCUCAGAAACUAAGCAGUGUCACGUCUGGUCAGUACUUUAAUGGGAGAUCACCUGGGAAUACUGGGUGCUGCAGGCU